Molecule: long non-coding RNA, 580 nt
Organism: Saccostrea echinata
Lineage: Eukaryota; Metazoa; Mollusca; Bivalvia; Ostreida; Ostreidae
Exons: 2
Source: RefSeq, a predicted model, not a curated record
UUAUCAGAAAAAAAUAUGACUUUAGGUAAGAAAAAAUGAAAUAAAACAUGACUUGUCCAUAUGCUAAUUCAUCAUUACGUGUCAAAACGCCAUACACUCCGAAAUUCCUUUUUCCUUCAAAAAAACUCCAGCAAAAUAUAUCCCCUAAAAAUGCAAAUUUGAUAAGAUAAGGCAUAUGUAUCAUCUUUCCAUCGACUAGUGGAAACUUGUUCACGAUUUGUAUACACCCGAAUGUGUGGUUAUUCCCGGUGAAAUUUAAACUCUUCAUGAAAUCACCAAAACGUUUCGACAGUAAGUGGAAUUUUGCUUGACUCAAACGUUUGAUCAACAUUGAUUAUCAGCUGUAUGGGAAACGUGCAGCUUUUAAACGAAAUGUGAAUUUGGUUACAGGAAUUUCUUUUACGUGCUUUUGGCCAUUUACCAUGUUUACAUGUUAUGUUAUAUCUAGCACUGGAUAACACAUGCAAGUUGGAUAAAAAUAAUAUUUGAGAAGAUCCCACCAGCUAUUCUCAAGAAAAUGCUGUUUUAAUUUUUCUUUUGUCUAUUUUUGUAAAUUUAAAUAAAAAUUAUGUAGAUUUUA